RNAcentral lists this long non-coding RNA (277 nucleotides) under Elaeis guineensis (African oil palm). RNAcentral describes it as "long non-coding RNA (EGUI_LNC027270)". The record is from RNAcentral. Lineage: Eukaryota; Viridiplantae; Streptophyta; Magnoliopsida; Arecales; Arecaceae.
AUCCUCCCUCCUCAUGUGGUAGCGUGUGAGUUGCUCCAAAGCUUUGAAAUUAGAUCUCAAAAGUACUUCUCUUUCCUCUCUAAAGAAAGAGUUCAUCCCUCUCUCCUACAGUGUUUGGUGCGCAGUGAAGUAGAGGAUCCGUGCAUCCGAAUCUCACGAAGCAUAUUGAUCGAGGAGCUUCUUCAAUCUUGAUUAUUUUUCACUACGAAUCAAGGUGAGCAUUCAUAAGUAUUAUAAAAAUUUUAAUUAUUAAUUUAUUCUAUCUUUCUGACAUCCG